This 373-nucleotide ribosomal RNA is filed under the name uncultured bacterium. RNAcentral describes it as "bacterial SSU rRNA". It matches the Rfam family "Bacterial small subunit ribosomal RNA", at positions 524 to 898 of the family's 1533-position model. The record is from RNAcentral.
UACGUAGGGGACGAGCGUUGUCCGGAAUUACUGGGCGUAAAGGGCGCGCAGGCUGUGCUGCAAGUCAGCUGUGAAAUAUCUGGGCUUAACCUGGAUAUGCGGUUGAGACUGCAGUGCUGGAGUGCUGUAGAGGCAAGUGGAAUUCCCAGUGUAGCGGUGAAAUGCGUAGAUAUUGGGAAGAACACCGGUGGCGAAGGCGACUUGCUGGGCAGCAACUGACGCUGAGGCGCGAAAGCCAGGGGAGCAAACGGGAUUAGAUACCCCGGUAGUCCUGGCCGUAAACGAUGAAUGCUAGGUGUGGGUGUAGAGAUACAUUCGUGCCGGAGUUAACGCGAUAAGCAUUCCGCCUGGGGAGUACGGUCGCAAGAUUGAA